AACGUAGGAGGCGAGCGUUAUCCGGAUUCACUGGGCGUAAAGGGCAAGUAGGCGGCUGGGUGCGUUGUGCGUGACAGUUCCCGGCUCAACUGGGAGAGGUCGUACAAUACGGCCCGGCUAGAGGGCAGGAGAGGGAAGUGGAACUCCUGAUGUAGCGGUGGAAUGCUCAGAGAUCAGGAAGAACACCGGUGGCGAAGGCGGCUUCCUGGCCUGCCCCUGACGCUGAGAGGCGAAAGCUAGGGGAGCGAACGGG
RNAcentral lists this ribosomal RNA (253 nucleotides) under uncultured bacterium. Its description in RNAcentral is "partial 16S ribosomal RNA". It matches the Rfam family "Bacterial small subunit ribosomal RNA", at positions 524 to 776 of the family's 1533-position model. The record is from RNAcentral. RNAcentral also lists the same sequence under 1 other name.